RNAcentral lists this ribosomal RNA (477 nucleotides) under uncultured bacterium. RNAcentral's name for it is "SSU rRNA". It matches the Rfam family "Bacterial small subunit ribosomal RNA", at positions 26 to 521 of the family's 1533-position model. The record is from RNAcentral.
AGGAUAAACGCUGGCGGCGUGCAUGAGACAUGCAAGUCGAACGGACGAUCAGGGCUUGCUCUGAUCGUUAGUGGCGGACGGCUGAGUAACGCGUAGGUGACCUGCCCCGAAGUGGGGAAUAACUGCCCGAAAGGGUGGCUAAUACCGCAUGUGGUGGUGUGUUCAUUCACACCAGUAAAGCCGCAAGGCGCUUCGGGAGGGGCCUGCGUCCGAUUAGCUCGUUGGUGGGGUAACGGCUCACCAAGGCGACGAUCGGUAGGUGGUCUGAGAGGACGAUCACCCAGACUGGGACUGAGACACGGCCCAGACUCCUACGGGAGGCAGCAGUCGGGAAUUUUGCGCAAUGGACGAAAGUCUGACGCAGCAACGCCGCGUGAGGGAUGAAGGCCUUCGGGUUGUAAACCUCUUUUAUCAGGGAAGAUAAUGACGGUACCUGAUGAAUAAGUCACGGCUAACGUACGUGCCAGCAGCCGCGGU